GGGCUACCCGCUGAGUUUAAGCAUAUCAAUAAAGCGGAGGA
RNAcentral lists this ribosomal RNA (41 nucleotides) under Nanocnide japonica. Its description in RNAcentral is "partial 28S rRNA". Lineage: Eukaryota; Viridiplantae; Streptophyta; Magnoliopsida; Rosales; Urticaceae. The record is from RNAcentral.